GUUGAGGUCUAUCCCGAUGGAGCCUUUUCUGUAUACCUACAGCAUUGGAAACGCCUCAUAGAGUAACUAUGUGGUUUCCUUUACUCAUAGAACUACCUGUUAUAUCUGUGGAAAGAACUAACUAUAAGACAGUA
Balaenoptera musculus (blue whale) is the source of this 134-nucleotide small nucleolar RNA. The record is from Ensembl. Lineage: Eukaryota; Metazoa; Chordata; Mammalia; Artiodactyla; Balaenopteridae.